Papaver somniferum (opium poppy) is the source of this 1881-nucleotide long non-coding RNA. RefSeq lists it as uncharacterized. Lineage: Eukaryota; Viridiplantae; Streptophyta; Magnoliopsida; Ranunculales; Papaveraceae. The record is from RefSeq and is a predicted model, not a curated record. The transcript is spliced from 2 exons.
GUUAUGACCAGCUGUGUAGCGGAUCUAAAAAAAAUUAAAAAAGAAAAGAUGAUCAAAUGUGUAGCGGGUCUUAAAAUUUUUUUAUUAUCAUUAUGUUUUUAGGGUAUGACCAGCUGUGUAGAGGGUCUUUUGUAGGAUAUUUUCUACGACCAGCUGAGUAGCGGGUCUUGUGUAUGGUAUUUCAAAUUUUCAUUUUAUGACCAGCUGUGUAGCGGGUCUAACUCUCUCUUAUGAUAUGACCAGCUGUGUAGCGGGUCAAUUCUUUGUUUUACUCGAGGACUAGCAAAAUAUAAGUGUAAGGGUGUUGAUAAGCACGUAAUUUCUAUAUUUUAUACCCAUAUUUAUAUUAGCUAGAACUCGAUAUUUUAACUAAUACUACCAUUUUAGUGCUUUUGUAAAAAAUACACACAAAUCCAGUUUCUGAAAGAAUAAGCAGCUAAAUGAACAACUAAAUGGUGUUUGCGGACAAAAUUCACGGAAUAUAGGUGGCCUGGUAUUUUAUAUAUCAGCACCAAAAGGAGACAGAGGUUAUGAACCAGAAUGGGGGAUUGUGUAUCGACUACUUCACCUAGUCGCAUCACUCAUUCAUUCAACAUAGGAAUUUCUUAGAUUGCCAAGCACGUGAGCGCACCAGCAGUUAUGGACACGACGUGGCAUCUCAAGGCUGAAGAAAGCACGUGAGGCCACCAGCAUUAUCUCGUUUCUUAAUAAAACAGAAGAAAGCAUUUCGUGCUCUUAUCGAAACACAUUUCAAGCAGCUGAAGUUCUUAGCAGAUAAAUGAAAUUGGAAUCUUAAGGCUUGAUACAGUGGAGUUGCCAUACAGUCGAUGAUGUUCACAGCAACAACAAUGGUAUUUGGGGCUUGCCGUGGUCGAAAAGCGGGUUGAAUCUCUGAUUGGGUUAAUGGCUGUUUUGGGAAACGGUGAACUGGUAGCUGGUGGUAAUUGUCAGAACCGGUUUGAAGUCAGUGGUGGUUGUUGAACUGAUGGUGCAGACACGAUGCAUAUGGAUUUCAGUUCACGGGACUGUACUUGAAAGAGACGAGCAUCUGAGAUGAUUGGUUAAGCUGAUUAUAAUUGGAGGCAGUUGAGGAGUAUACGCUUAUCGUGUUGGCAUGAAUGGAGAUGGAGUCGACCUGGUGGUGUUGUCGUGGUCAUGGCUGUGAAUCGAGUUCGAAUACAGAUGUCCAGAUGGCUUGCGAGAAGUGUUACUGCAGUUUGCUGUGGCUUGAACUUGGCAAGGAGCUGGUGAUGCUCGAGAAGUGUUACUGCAGUUUUGGGUUACGUAAGAAAAUGACGGCUGCCAUGAACAACCCAUGGUGAUGAAGAUCGAUGGGAGUUGUUUGUUGUGUAAUCGAUGGAGUCGGUGUGUCAGCUGGAGUUCUGAUGGACUCUACGUUUGCAGGAAGAAAGAUGGGUAUUGAACGAGAUACUUGUGCGGAGAUUUGGUUCAGCAACAUCAUGAGAAUAAGAUAACUGAAGAAAACUGUAUCCGGCCAGUUUUGGAAAGUGUUUGGACGUGGACUGAAUUUUGAAUACGGGGGUGAUGGAAGGGAUGACGUGGCGCGCUCCCAGUCGUCGGUAUUAUAUUUGUGACGCAAGGAACCAAAGAAAUAAAAAGAGAAGUCAGAUCUGAAAGAGGGGGAGGGGAGGCUGCGACUGCAGAGCCGUCUAUGACAGGAAACCAAAAAUAGGGUUUGCAGUUUGUGUUCCCCAUUUUCAUUUUGAUUAGCUAUUGAUUUAGAUUUGUUUAUGGUUUUAGGGAAAGCCAUGUCGAGCUAAUCAUGUUAUGGUGAAAGGAUGAACUUGUAGGUUGAAUUAUAUGUAUUUUUGAAUAAGGGUUUUCUACUAUUGAACUUAAUGCUAAUGUUUUGUCUCUCUA